RNAcentral lists this transfer RNA (70 nucleotides) under Pampus echinogaster. RNAcentral's name for it is "tRNA-Asp". It matches the Rfam family "tRNA". From Rfam's summary of the family: Transfer RNA (tRNA) molecules are approximately 80 nucleotides in length. RNAcentral also lists the same sequence under 2 other names. The record is from RNAcentral. Lineage: Eukaryota; Metazoa; Chordata; Actinopteri; Scombriformes; Stromateidae.
GAGACAUUAGUAAAAUAUAUUACAUUACCUUGUCAAGGUAAUAUCGUGGGUUAAAUCCCCACAUGUCUUA